This 301-nucleotide ribosomal RNA is filed under the name uncultured bacterium. Its description in RNAcentral is "partial 16S ribosomal RNA". It matches the Rfam family "Bacterial small subunit ribosomal RNA", at positions 509 to 807 of the family's 1533-position model. The record is from RNAcentral.
CAGUCGCCGCGGUAAUACCGAGGGUGCGAGCGUUAAUCGGAUUUACUGGGCGUAAAGCGUGCGUAGGCGGCUUUUUAAGUCGGAUGUGAAAUCCCUGAGCUUAACUCAGGAAUUGCAUUCGAUACUGGGAAGCUAGAGUAUGGGAGAGGAUGGUAGAAUUCCAGGUGUAGCGGUGAAAUGCUUAGAGAUCUGGAGGAAUACCGAUGGCGAAGGCAGCCAUCUGGCCUAAUACUGACGCUGAGGUACGAAAGCAUGGGGAGCAAACAGGAUUAGAUACCCCCGUAGUCCCUGUCUCUUAUAC